AAAGAAAGACGAUUAGACCCUAUUGAACUUAACUGUAGUUAAACUGGGSCAGUAAAUUAAUUAUUAUUUUAWUAAAAUAUAUCAUAUAAAUAUCUAAUAAAAUUAAAUAAUUCAGUUACCAUAGGGAUAACAGCGUAAUAGUUUUCUAAAGAUCUUAUUUAAAAUAUAGAUUACGACCUCGAUGUUGAAUUAAUAACCUAAUUAAGGCAAAACUUAAAAAAGGAAGUCUGUUCGACUUUUAAAAAAUUACAUGAUUUGAGUUCAGACCGGUGUAAGCCAGGUCGGUUUCUAUCUUCUAAAAAAUUUUUUACAGUACGAAAGGACCUAAAA
This 330-nucleotide ribosomal RNA is filed under the name Habronattus pugillus. RNAcentral describes it as "partial 16S ribosomal RNA". The stretch from base 3 to 297 matches the Rfam family "Bacterial large subunit ribosomal RNA", at positions 2074 to 2646 of the family's 2925-position model. Lineage: Eukaryota; Metazoa; Arthropoda; Arachnida; Araneae; Salticidae. The record is from RNAcentral.